CCCUUAGAUGUCCUGGGCUGCACGCGCGCUACACUGAUGCGUCCAAUAAGCACCUAACCUAAUCCGAAGGGACCGGGUAACCUUAGCAAAGCGCAUCGUGAUGGGGAUAGAUUAUUGCAAUUAUUAGUCUUGAACGAGGAAUUCCCAGUAAGCGCGAGUCAUAAGCUCGCGUUGAUUACGUCCCUGCCCUUUGUACACACCGCCCGUCGCUACUACCGAUUGAACGGUUUAGUGAGGGCCUCGGAUUGGUCUCGGCCCGCUCUUUACCGGGCGGCGCCGUUGGUCGAGAAGACGCUCGAACUUGAUCGUUUAGAGGAAGUAAAAGUCGUAACA
Molecule: ribosomal RNA, 333 nt
Filed under: uncultured eukaryote
Lineage: Eukaryota
Description: partial 18S ribosomal RNA
Rfam family: Eukaryotic small subunit ribosomal RNA
Source: RNAcentral